This 129-nucleotide small nucleolar RNA is filed under the name Dasypus novemcinctus (nine-banded armadillo). Its description in RNAcentral is "Small nucleolar RNA SNORA31 (ENSDNOG00000041858.1)". It matches the Rfam family "Small nucleolar RNA SNORA31". From Rfam's summary of the family: ACA31 (SNORA31) belongs to the H/ACA class of snoRNAs which are thought to guide the sites of modification of uridines to pseudouridines. ACA31 is predicted to guide the pseudouridylation of U3713 in 28S rRNA and U218 in 18S rRNA. Lineage: Eukaryota; Metazoa; Chordata; Mammalia; Cingulata; Dasypodidae. The record is from RNAcentral.
AUGCAUCUCUGACAGACCUGGAGAAGCUAAUGUCUGCUGCUAAGGUUUCCACUACAGAUGCAAGAAAAAGAAGGUCCUCGCGUUUUCUGUCUGGUUGUAGCAGCCAAGAUUGAAUGGGAAAAUACAGGA